CGGGGGGUGGUGGAAGAAUCACAGGCAGUUGUCACUUGCCAAUUGGUGCGUUGAGUGCCCCUUCCGU
This 67-nucleotide transfer RNA is filed under the name Placopecten magellanicus (sea scallop). Its description in RNAcentral is "tRNA-Asp". The record is from RNAcentral. Lineage: Eukaryota; Metazoa; Mollusca; Bivalvia; Pectinida; Pectinidae.